AGCCCUUAAAUAUAAAUUAAAGGUGAAACCUGCCCAAUGGUCAACAAGUAAUUUUCUUAACCUAAAAAGAAAAAGACUAAAUGGCUGCAGUAACUAUGACUGUGUGAAUGUAGCAUAAUCAUUCGCCACUUAAUUAGUGGAUAGUAUGAAUGGUCAAACGAAAAUUUCUCUGUCUUAUAUAAUAAUAAGAAAAUUUAAGUUAUAGUCAAGAUGCUAUAUAAAAUUGUAAGACGAAAAGACCCUAUAAAGCUUAACUAUAAUCUUUUAAAACACCAAACAAAAAUUUAAUAAUCUUAAAAGACAGGUAGUUUCAUUGGGGCGAUGAUCUCUAAGAAAAAACAGAGAUAAACUAUAUUAAUAAUAUAAUUUACUGUUUAAUAAAUUUAUUUAACAGUUACAAAGUAGGUUAUAAAGACCCAUUAUUACUAAAAAAAAAAGAAUAAUGAUCAAAAAAUAAAAGCUACUUUAGGGAUAACAGAAUAAUCUUUUCUAAGAGUUCUUAUCGAAGAAAAAGUUUAUUACCUCGAUGUUGAAUUAAGAUAACCUAAUGACGCAGCCGUUAUUAAAGGUAGGUCUGUUCGACCUUUAAAAUCUUA
This 596-nucleotide ribosomal RNA is filed under the name Taxella gracilicaulis. RNAcentral's name for it is "Gymnangium gracilicaule partial 16S ribosomal RNA". It matches the Rfam family "Bacterial large subunit ribosomal RNA", at positions 1822 to 2598 of the family's 2925-position model. The record is from RNAcentral. Lineage: Eukaryota; Metazoa; Cnidaria; Hydrozoa; Leptothecata; Aglaopheniidae.